RNAcentral lists this long non-coding RNA (5428 nucleotides) under Vitis vinifera (wine grape). RNAcentral describes it as "long non-coding RNA (VVIN_LNC002736)". Lineage: Eukaryota; Viridiplantae; Streptophyta; Magnoliopsida; Vitales; Vitaceae. The record is from RNAcentral.
GCUCUGUUGCAGAACAAAAACCCGAAAUCAGUCAAAAAUAAGUAACAUGUCAAUAAUUGAAACUACAUGUAAAGUGAAAAUUUUCCAUUACCUUGCACAUGUUUGGAGGGCAGAGACUGCAGCCAUGGGAAGAUGAGGUGAAAUCAUGGUGAGGGAAGAUCCUGAGCCUCCCUUCUUCAUCUACAAAACUGGGGUUUGUGUUGAUCUCCGAAAAGCAGUCCUCUAGGCCGAGAUGCUUCAGAAUCGUCUCGAUAAAGAAGAGAUUCGCAUCACUUACUAUCUUCAAAUCACACCUAGAAUAAUACGUAGUUCCAUUCAUUGUCACCUUCCCAAAGAGAAAAGUUUGGUACCAAGUAACUGAAAAGAAAAAAGAUGGAAAUAUAUAUACCCUAAAGCAUGGGCUGAUUUAAUGGCUGGAACCGCCCUUGGAUGUAUUGGAACCCUCUUGAGAACCUCUGCAAUGUCAUCAAUGGUCUUCCCCUGUGAAUGAAGCUCCCUCAUCAUUCUAUCCUGUACCACAUUCACCAAAGAACAUUGAGGACAAUGCAGUUCACCAACUGAAACAAAAACAGAAUUGAUAAUGAAAAAAUCAACUAACCAUGAGGGAAUUCCAGGGCAUGGUGGGGAGGAGUUGAUUGAACAAAUCAGUGGCGCCCAACUCAUCCACCACCCAAUUAUCACUGUCGACGUCGAUGAUCGUCUUGUCGAAGUCGAAAACCACCACAAUUCCUGCCAUUUUCUCUCUUUCCAAACACCUAGUUAACUUCUUUUCUCUCCACAGAUGCUCUGAUGCCAAUCCACCCCAGCCACAUGGGGUAUUUAUACAACCAAAACAUGAUGGCAGAAGGCAGCCGUGCAUGAAUGUCUUUUUUGAUGCCAAAGAAUAUUACCUCAAGUACUUCUGGUAAAGUUGAUGGAAACCAUUCAAGUCAAUUUGCAGUUGGACUCUUGUCAUUAUUGUCUACUUCUCAAAGCAACUUAAUACACAGCUUCCAGCCAUCUCACCUGUCAGAUUAUCCGACAUAAGCUUGGUCAACAAAUCCGACGGUUCAAGCAACCCCCCUACUGUACAGACAUUGUGGUGGUUAGGCAAAGACGCGGGGAAUAUCUGAAUAUUCCGUUCGAAUUAAAUUCUGUGUCCGCCUCUGCCCCAACUGACAAAGAGAAUAUUCCGUUUUGGUGCUGCGAUUCUUGAUCAGUGGGUAGCUUUUCCCACGCGCUUUGUUAAUGGGCGGCUAUUUUAAUUUAUUUAUUUAAUUUUGGUCCACGAGAUCCUACUAACUUGGUCCAAUAAAAUCAACUCUGAAUGACUCAAUUUUAUAUUUAAAAAAUUAUGAUAUUUUUAAGAUUAAGUUAAAUAAAAAUCAGUAUUAUCCUAUUUAAAAAUAAUUUGAAAUAUAUAUCAUUUUUAAUGACUCAUUUAAAUAUUUUUUUAAAAUUUCUAUUUUAUUUAACAUGUCAUUAAUAUCAAUUAACAACUAAAUUUUUUUAUGUAAAUGUUUCCUUUUCAUUUACAUUUGUUCUUUAUUAUUAUUAUUAUUUUAGAUUUUUUUUCCAUAAAAAAAGUUGAAAAUUUUGUUUUUCUCCAUAAACGAACAUUUCAUAACAAAUAUGAGAAAUGAAGGUCAAUUGAUAUUCAGAAAGGGAAACAUGCACAUGAAGGAGCCUAGUUAUAAAUUGUUAUUAAUGACAUAACAAGUAAACUUGAUAUUUUAGGAAAUAAUUAUAUGACUUAUUAAAAAAUGCAUAUAUUUUAAAUUAUUUUUAAAUAGAUAAAAAUAAUAUUGAUUUAAAAAAAACCUGAGAUUUUUUUUUCUAUAUAUUUUCAUAUUAGUAAGUUAAAACUCAUUCCCCCUCCCCCCCCAAAAAAAAAAAAAAAAGAGUACAAGUCAAUAUUAACCAGUGGACACCAAAAGAGAGUCUCGUCAAAAACAAGAUGCCUCGAGGCAUAAACUCAAGUCAUGGAGGGAUCCAAGUAAGUGAUGUGAAGGACUAUGAUUCUCAAAUGUCGGAAAACAGAAUAUGAUACGAUAAAAUAAAAUGCAAUAAAAACAAGAACAUAAAUAAAUGGGUAGAAUGAAGAAUUUUUUAUUUUUUAUUAUUGAAUAUAUUCCUCCGUUUUGAAAUUUCAUUAAAUUUUUGUGAGUUAUAAAUUCACAUAUUGAGGUAUUAUUAGGCUUUGAUUGAUGAAACUUAAAAAAAUAAAAAAUAAAUAAAUAAAAGGCACUUAUAUGGUAUUCAAAUUAGGCUCCUAGUUCCACCAUCCCAGAAGCUACUUAGAUAAUUUUAUUCACAUAUUUUUGUAAAACAGAAUCUCACAAGACCAAAGUUCAAAGUUCCAAUUUCUGUCAACUUUCUAACAAAAAAAUAUGCCUCCAGGCACCAACACCAACCAAAAAUGUGCCCAAAUAUUUAUUCAAAGCUUCACAUUCACGCGCCCUCGGUGCGAACUGGUCUUGUCUGCUGCGCUUACAAAAUUUUCUUUUUUUUAAAUUCCUACCCGUUUGGAAACAUUGUGUUUGAGACGUUUGGACUAAUGAUAGUGGAGGCCAUCAUGGCAAGAUUGGGAAUGACGUGUCAUCAUUUAGGAAUAUUAUUUAUUAUUUUAUUAGCUUCAAGGGACUAGUGGAAUAUUCCAUAUGGGCAUGGAAAAUCUUUUUUUUUCAAUUAUAAAAAAUGGCCAUGUGUAGGGUUUUUUUAUUAUCUCGUUACGGGUUACCAUAAAAAAAGAUUCAUGAUGAGUUUAGGAUAGAUUCAAGAUUGAAAGUGACAUGUCAUCAUUUAAGAUUAUCAUCUAUUAUUUUAUUAGUUUGAUCGGACUAGUGAAAUAUUCUAUAAUCAUAAAAUAAAUUAAUUUUUUAUUUUAUUUUAUUUUUAUUAUAAAAAUUAUGCAUGUGUAAUUGACGAUGUUUGAAGGAUUCUAACAAAAGAUGACCAUGUGCGGUUUUUCAAAUGCAUGGGUCUCGCUUGGCAGCUUUCUAAUAGAAAAUAUGCUUGCAACGCAACCCAAAUUCAAAGCUUCACAUCCACGCGCCACCGGUGCGGCUUGGCCUUGUUUGCUGUCAUUUCAAAUUGCUGGUUUUAGUUGUUAAUCAUUUUUUAAAUUCCCACCCUUUUUGAAACAUUGUAUUUGAGACGCUUGUGAUAAUGCUGGUGGAGGUAGAAUAAAGGCCAACAUGGCAGGAUUUGGAAUGACAUGUCAUCGUUCAGGAUUAUUAUCCUUUAUUUUGGACUAGUGGAAUAUCUAAGGGCAUGGAAUAGAAUUUUUUUUUUAGGCCAUGAGAAUUGAGCAUGUGCAGUUGGUAAUGUUUGAUGAGUUGCAGCAAAAAGUGACCUUGCUUCUUCUUUAAGUGAAGGUAGGUUCCAACUUAUGUGGGUUGUUCCGAAAUUCGAAUCCAAUCCGAGUGAAUUUUGAUAAUCGUUUUCAAUAUUUGAAUUAGGUUUGGAUUGACUUUUUUUAAUCUAAGUUUAAUUUGAAUUAGGUUGAAGCCAAUAUUUUAUAAUGUAUAUUAUCUUAUAUAAUAAUAUUUAUUUUAAUUUUUUAAAAAAAAUAUAUCAUAUUAUAUUAUAUACUUUUUUAUUAUUUUAUAUAGAUAUAUAAAUUUAUUUUUAGUUUUUUUUUAUUGUUAUCUUAAAAUUUUGCAUUAUUUACUAUUUAAAUUAUUAUAUAAAUAUAUAAAAAAAUUUAAUUUAUAAAUGAAUUUUGAAUUAUGCAAUUCGAUUCAUCCAAUCAAUCCAAGCCUAAUCCAAUUAACUCGAACUCAAUCCAAACUUAAAAAAUGAGAUUUGUUUAAACUUGGAUGGAGUGCCUCAAGUUAGAGUUCAAAUUGAGUUGAGCUAGUUCUUUUUAAUUCAAAUUGAGUUUGGAUUAGCCAUUAACCUAACUACCCCACUCAAGUUGUAGUCCUAAUGAAAAGUAGGUUGUUAUCACGACUUUCAAGUUAAGUUCUUUUUUAAGUUAUAAGUUUUUUUUUUUAAUAAAACCAAUCAAAUAAAUAUGAAAAAGGCUAUUAGUUAUAUAGUGUCAGGGGCACUUUCCACUUUCCUCUAUUUGAUGUAUGAUAUCACAAAUUUAAAUUUAAAAAAAAAAUAGCCUUAAUUUUUAUAAUUUAAUGAAAAUAAAGUAGAAAUGGAUACUAUAAAAUUAAAAAAAAAAUAUUCUAUAUUUUUCUGAGAUGGUUCACUCGAGAAUUAGAUUCAAUGCCAUAAAAGAUGAGUUCAGGUUUUCAUUGAUUUUAGAUGUAACGAUAAAACCUUGAGCUCAAGGUUAUGAGUUCGGGUCAUGAUAAAAGAUCGAUCCAACAAAUAGUAUCAAAGCUUAUGAGUUCGGUAUAGGUGAGAUGGUCAAAACCCGAUUUAAAACUUUUUUAGGCAUUAACAAAACCUUUUAUUUUUAUUGCAUUUUCCUCGUGAGUAGUGAUGCAAAGGUCACAAAAGAGGCAAGUAGUUAGAGGCAUGUGUAUUACACAGGGUGCCUAGGCCUAUACAAAGCAGUUGUACAUGCCCUUCAAGCUCACAUGAAACUCCACCCUCCCCUCCACCAACUUAUUUGAAUUGGUGUCCAUAUCUUUGAGUCUAAUUGCAAAAAAAAAUAUCUUGUAUAUGAAAGGGAUUGAUAUUAGAUGAAGCAAACUAGUGCUGUAUUUCAGUUUGAUCUGUUUUUCGUGUCAGAAACACAGCACUAGGCUCUGGUAUACAUAUGUUAAAGGGGGAAAAACAGUUGAUCCCAAGAAGAAAAAAACAAAGGGAUGUAAUUAAUGGCCAACAAUGGGGGAUUCAUAGAAGAACUAAUGAGGAACUGGGAGAGCUUGAGGCAGGGCUUGGGCAGCCAUUGUCUCAAACUUGCAGUCUACAGAUAUCAACUGGGCAGCAGCUGAGUUGUUGUUAGCAUUGUUUUCUUCUGAAAUUUUCUUGAUCAGGUGGAGCAGACCAUGCUCCAGCUCUUCCCCAUCACUCCAUUCAUGAACCUCUGCCUUUAUGAGAUUGGGAUUUCUGCAGAUCAAAUCCCACAGCGGGAAGUUCUUCCUUGGCAUGACAUAGUCUCCAUCUCCCAGCUUCAAACUCGGGCAGAAGUCACCGCUUCCGUCUCCAAGGUAGAUGAAUUUUUCUGUGGAUAUAGAAGCCUGAAUCCUCUUUAUCACCAUGCCCUGUUGCAGAAAAAAUUCAAAAUCAGUAACAUAUAUGAAUUGAAUUGAAUUGAAACUAGGUAUGUAGACUGAAAAUCUUCCAUUACCUUACACAUGUUUGGAGGGCAGAGACUGCAGCCAUGGGAAGAUGAGGUGAAAUCAUGGUGAGGGAAGAUCCUGAGCCUUCCUUCUUCAUCUACAAAACUGGGGUUGGUGUUGAUCUCCGAAAAACAGUCCAUUACGCCAAGAUGCUUCAGAAUCGUCUCGAUAAAGAAGAGAUUCGCAUCACUUACUAUCUUCAA